Molecule: ribosomal RNA, 1343 nt
Filed under: uncultured bacterium
Lineage: Bacteria
Description: 16S ribosomal RNA
Rfam family: Bacterial small subunit ribosomal RNA
Source: RNAcentral
GACGAACGCUUGCGGCGUGCUUAACACAUGCAAGUCGAACGGAAAGGCCCUGCUUUUGUGGGGUGCUCGAGUGGCGAACGGGUGAGUAACACGUGAGUAACCUGCCCUUGACUUUGGGAUAACUUCAGGAAACUGGGGCUAAUACCGGAUAGGAGCUCCUGCUGCAUGGUGGGGGUUGGAAAGUUUCGGCGGUUGGGGAUGGACUCGCGGCUUAUCAGCUUGUUGGUGGGGUAGUGGCUUACCAAGGCUUUGACGGGUAGCCGGCCUGAGAGGGUGACCGGCCACAUUGGGACUGAGAUACGGCCCAGACUCCUACGGGAGGCAGCAGUGGGGAAUAUUGCACAAUGGGCGGAAGCCUGAUGCAGCAACGCCGCGUGCGGGAUGACGGCCUUCGGGUUGUAAACCGCUUUCGCCUGUGACGAAGCGUGAGUGACGGUAAUGGGUAAAGAAGCACCGGCUAACUACGUGCCAGCAGCCGCGGUGAUACGUAGGGUGCGAGCGUUGUCCGGAUUUAUUGGGCGUAAAGGGCUCGUAGGUGGUUGAUCGCGUCGGAAGUGUAAUCUUGGGGCUUAACCCUGAGCGUGCUUUCGAUACGGGUUGACUUGAGGAAGGUAGGGGAGAAUGGAAUUCCUGGUGGAGCGGUGGAAUGCGCAGAUAUCAGGAGGAACACCAGUGGCGAAGGCGGUUCUUUGGGCCUUUCCUGACGCUGAGGAGCGAAAGCGUGGGGAGCGAACAGGCUUAGAUACCCUGGUAGUCCACGCUGUAAACGGUGGGUACUAGGUGUGGGGUCCAUUCCACGGGUUCCGUGCCGUAGCUAACGCUUUAAGUACCCCGCCUGGGGAGUACGGCCGCAAGGCUAAAACUCAAAGGAAUUGACGGGGCCCCGCACAAGCGGCGGAGCAUGCGGAUUAAUUCGAUGCAACGCGUAGAACCUUACCUGGGUUUGACAUGGAUCGGGAGUGCUCAGAGAUGGGUGUGCCUCUUUUGGGGUCGGUUCACAGGUGGUGCAUGCCUGUCGUCAGCUCGUGUCGUGAGAUGUUGGGUUAAGUCCCGCAACGAGCGCAACCCUUGUUCACUGUUGCCAGCACGUUAUGGUGGGGACUCAGUGGAGACCGCCGGGGUCAACUCGGAGGAAGGUGGGGAUGACGUCAAGUCAUCAUGCCCCUUAUGUCCAGGGCUUCACGCAUGCUACAAUGGCUGGUACAGAGAGUGGCGAGCCUGUGAGGGUGAGCGAAUCUCGGAAAGCCGGUCUCAGUUCGGAUUGGGGUCUGCAACUCGACCUCAUGAAGUCGGAGUCGCUAGUAAUCGCAAAUCAGCAACGCUGCGGUGAAUACGUUCCCGGG